UUUCCGUAGGUGAACCUGCGGAAGGAUCAUUCAUAAUAAAGUGUUUUAUGGCACUUUUUACAAAUCCAUAUCCACCUUGUGUGCAAUGUUAGAUCUCGUCAAUCUUGGCGAGAUUUUUAUACAUCAACUCAUUCUUUAACUAAUUUGUCUGAAAAAUAUUAUGAAUACUUAAUUCAAAAUACAACUUUCAACAACGGAUCUCUUGGCUCUC
RNAcentral lists this unclassified non-coding RNA (211 nucleotides) under plant metagenome. RNAcentral describes it as "partial contains small subunit ribosomal RNA, internal transcribed spacer 1, and 5.8S ribosomal RNA". The record is from RNAcentral.